AAAAACGACUCUCGGCAACGGAUAUCUCGGCUCACGCAUCGAUGAAGAACGUAGCAAAAUGCGAUACUUGGUGUGAAUUGCAGAAUCCCGUGAACCAUCGAGUUUUUGAACGCAAGUUGCGCCCGAAGCCAUUCGGCCGAGGGCACGUCUGCCUGGGCGUCAC
RNAcentral lists this ribosomal RNA (163 nucleotides) under Oritrophium peruvianum. Its description in RNAcentral is "5.8S ribosomal RNA". It matches the Rfam family "5.8S ribosomal RNA". From Rfam's summary of the family: 5.8S ribosomal RNA (5.8S rRNA) is a component of the large subunit of the eukaryotic ribosome. It is transcribed by RNA polymerase I as part of the 45S precursor that also contains 18S and 28S rRNA. The record is from RNAcentral. Lineage: Eukaryota; Viridiplantae; Streptophyta; Magnoliopsida; Asterales; Asteraceae.